This is a long non-coding RNA of Gadus macrocephalus (Pacific cod), 897 nucleotides long. RefSeq lists it as uncharacterized. The transcript is spliced from 3 exons. The record is from RefSeq and is a predicted model, not a curated record. Lineage: Eukaryota; Metazoa; Chordata; Actinopteri; Gadiformes; Gadidae.
AUGUAAUGGUUCUACAAUAUAUGAAGGUGUCACGUAAUGAAUGAAACUACGGAAAAAAUGUCACGAUACUCUACAUGCACCUGUGAGAUGCACCUGCAGUCAGUCGCCGGCCGAAAUUGACGUUUUAAACGUUAUUUCUAUUUAAAUGUUGUUGUUUUUUAAAGAUACAUCUGUAUUAUGAAUCUGACUGACUGGCUAGCUAACCUUUCUCGCAAUUUUAAGGUUUCCCAAAGAGAAGCAGUUGAGGAGACAGUGGGAAGUGGCUGUGAAAAGGGAAGACUUUUCUGCCAAUGAGAGGUCAAUGCUCUGUAGCCAGCACUUUCAGCCGGAGGAUUAUGACCGGACAGGCCAAAAUGUCAGGCUCAGGGAUGGAACUAAACCAUCUGUGUUCAGUUUCCCAACACAUCUCAAAAGAAAAGUGGCAGCCAGGACUACACAAGCCUCAAGGAAGGCUGAAGCGAGCCUUGUAAUUGACUGUUCUUUACAAUCAUUACAAGUCACUGAACCUUCACCUACCUACCUUGAACACACUUAUGCAUUGCCUCCAUCUCCCACUCUUCUCAAGACUAGACUCAAUGAAGCCCUGGCUAGGGUGGAGAGUCUUGAGAAAGAGAUGAGGAACUCAAAGGCCCGAGAGCGGAGGGCGAAGAAAACAGUGCGUUGUCUUCUGGAGGACCUCAGGGGGAAGAACCUCAUAAAUGAAGAGCUGCAAGAGAGGCUUGACUUAUACUCAGGUAACAUUGAAAUUAAACUUUGAAUGUCAUGUAUAUCUUAGGGCUGUAACCAAAGAAAUACAACUGCAAUAAUGUGUUCAAAUGCUUGGCUUGUCUGAAUUUCAUAUAUCAAACUUAAACUCCAAAUACCUGACAACGUCUGUAAUAUGCCCCCAUUCAUAGU